This is a long non-coding RNA of Carassius carassius (crucian carp), 359 nucleotides long. RefSeq lists it as uncharacterized. The transcript is spliced from 2 exons. The record is from RefSeq and is a predicted model, not a curated record. Lineage: Eukaryota; Metazoa; Chordata; Actinopteri; Cypriniformes; Cyprinidae.
UGUCAACUAUCUGAUAUUCCGAUUCUUCGUUUAAAAACCUUUAUAAAUUAUCUUGAUCUAUAACGAGAUGAGCGCUGCAGUUCAGAGUCCUGUCAGCCGGAUUUAACGUACAGCACUUGAAUUCCCCAGUUUCUCCCGAAAUACAUGAAAGUAAGUGGCUGUUGAACUGGACGAAGAAUAGAGUAAAUUUUAUUGUUCUGCUAUGUGUGUCUGAUAUAUGAAUAAAACACGUCUGCAAAUUAUAUUUGAUAAGAUAGUUGUCACUGUGUAUUUUACAAACUACCAAUGUAUUGUUUUACUAGUGAUUAUGUAUAUUUAAAUGUAUGAAACCUAAAAUAAACAUUAUGUGGUUGAAAACA